UUUUUUGAGGUGUAUGGACACGUCGGUCUUUCAAUCCGGAGUUGAAGAUUUUUUCUUCCAAAUCUU
RNAcentral lists this transfer RNA (66 nucleotides) under Solen strictus (Gould's razor shell). RNAcentral describes it as "tRNA-Glu". The record is from RNAcentral. Lineage: Eukaryota; Metazoa; Mollusca; Bivalvia; Adapedonta; Solenidae.